ACAAAUCUGUGUUUCACAUGGGAUGGCUUAUGGACUAGGGUAGGGUGGACACCUCACUUCCCAAAUUUGUGAAGGGUUGCCUCCAGUACCAGGUUCAUGAACAAUUUAAAAAUACAUGAAAAUCAAACUCAUUGUCUGUCUACUGAAGGAAUGGAACCAUGCACCAUAUCUCACUAGAAAUAAUACUGUGCUGCUGUUCUGCUGUCUUGGAUUAAACAUAUAGGAACAUGAGAAGCCAAAGAGGCUACUAUAAUAAGGACUGAGGACAGCAACAGGUGGCCGUACUUAUCAAGUAAACCGCAUAGAAUCUGGACUCCACUCAGUUGUCCAAAAGCGGGGUCAGGUUUUGCCUUGAUCCUGAAAAUUUAUUGCACAUUCCUGGGAGCUGUGCAUUUCUGCAGUUGAUCCCGGCGCAUGUGCUUAGCAGUAGAAUAAGCCUGCUUGGUUUUAUUUUUUAUUUUUUAAAAAAUUAGAAAGUUCCUGGCCUGUUAAGAAUUUUCUGGGGCUAGGAUAAUAAUCCAUGAGAGAAUCCAAAGGAAAUAUGUAAAUCAAUACAGAAGCCGGCCUGCCUCCCCUCAUAAAUAGCUUGAACUGAAUGCUGCCCAUCAGCCUAACCCCAUUUUAAAUAGGCAGCUGGUGAUGUCAUGGCUUAUGUUGCCAAUGCCCUGGUUGCUUGCCUCCCUCCUCCCUCUGACUACUUUAGUCCCACCAGAGGAACUGGGAAUCCAGACUGCCCUGGGAGAUGAGGAGAAGCUGAGGAAAGCCCCGGGUACCACGGGUUCGUGCUGUGCUCCAUCCUUCCUCUCCAGGAGAGGACAAGGUUAAUCACAAGGACAACCCGAAAUAAGAACUCUCUCUUCACGCUUGUCCGGUGAGCGCAGCCUUUGCUCUUCCCUUGUUGGUCCCAAGCCCAGCCAUGGAGAGAUCCACACAAGAGCUGUUCCUCAACUUCAUGGUUGUACUGAUCACAGUACUCCUCAUGUGGAUUCUGGUGAAAUCCUACCUAGAAUGAAAUGACUGUGCCACACUCUUUGGAGUCGGUGAAAGAUCCAAGAUCAGAGGAGGAUGUCCUUUCUGCUACACAAAAAUGCUUCCCUGUGCACUCUCUGUCUUUGUGUGUAAAAGAAAGUUAUGCAGGCUUUUUUAAAAAAAAACUUUAAAAUACUUCUUGCCUAUAGGCAGCUAAACACUGAAAUGGAUCUGGGAUGAUGUAAAUUAUUUAAUUUAUUAUACUGAGCAUGUCAUAUCUUUUUCCCCCUGCUCAUCCUUUGUAAUUCAUACGUGUUCUUGACCUGAAGGCAUAACGGUGACAAGUGUCAACAUUCAUUUGUCUUUCUUACCUGUUUGUUCCUUGUGCAUUCUUGUGUGGCUUUCAUGGUUUCAGCAUUGUGUACUGGGAUCUACUUAGCUGAAGUAUGGAAACUCUUCUCACAUCCACUGUCGUAAUUGGAAUAAAGAGCUAAAUAUGAUGCA
Molecule: long non-coding RNA, 1473 nt
Filed under: Pogona vitticeps (central bearded dragon)
Lineage: Eukaryota; Metazoa; Chordata; Lepidosauria; Squamata; Agamidae
Description: lncRNA (ENSPVIG00000014731.1)
Source: RNAcentral